RNAcentral lists this unclassified non-coding RNA (237 nucleotides) under Hevea brasiliensis (rubber tree). Lineage: Eukaryota; Viridiplantae; Streptophyta; Magnoliopsida; Malpighiales; Euphorbiaceae. The record is from RNAcentral.
AGGCGGACACCCUGAUAUAGUCGAGGGGCAUAUGCAUGGGGUUUUGACAUAAGAAGUUGGCAGAGCCACUUGAAUGCCCUGACGUGGCCUGAAAUACUGCGGCAGUUUGCACUUUCUGCUGGUUUUGGACCCAAGCUAAAGAAACAAAGUGUUGAACCAGCUUAUCCACGUGAUGAAAAUGAGUGUAAUAAUGGGGCAGAUAUCAUUUCCAACUUACGAAGUGGAGUUGCUGCUGAG